RNAcentral lists this ribosomal RNA (460 nucleotides) under uncultured bacterium. Its description in RNAcentral is "partial 16S ribosomal RNA". It matches the Rfam family "Bacterial small subunit ribosomal RNA", at positions 338 to 795 of the family's 1533-position model. The record is from RNAcentral.
CCUACGGGAGGCAGCAGUGAGGAAUAUUGGUCAAUGGGCUUACGCCUGAACCAGCCAAGUCGCGUGAGGGAAGACUGCCCUAUGGGUUGUAAACCUCUUUUGUCAGGGAGCAACGCCGGCUACGUGUAGCCGGACUGAGAGUACCUGAAGAAAAAGCAUCGGCAAACUCCGUGCCGGCAGCCGCGGUACUACGGAGGAUGCGAGCGUUAUCCGGAUUUAUUGGGUUAAAGGGGUGCGUAGGCGGAAUGCCAAGUCAGCGGUAAAAUCGCGGGGCGCAACCGCGCUCCGCCGUUGAAACUGGCGGUCUUGAGUGGGCGAGAGGUAUGCGGAAUGCGUGGUGUAGCGGUGAAAUGCGUAGAUAUCACGCAGAACACCGAUUGCGAAGGCAGCAUACCGGAGCCCAACUGACGCUGAGGCACGAAAGCGUGGGUAUCGAACAGGAUUAGAUACCCUUGUAGUC